Non-coding RNA from Pelobates cultripes (western spadefoot toad), 598 nucleotides. The record is from the annotation of a GenBank genome assembly. NCBI's taxonomy places the organism in Eukaryota, Metazoa, Chordata, Amphibia, Anura, Pelobatidae.
UGGAGAGAUGCUGAUUGGCCAGGACUGUGGUUGGCUUGUGUUGGCUUUUCUCCUGAUCUGCAUCCUUGACAGUCUCAGCCAAUCCAAUGCUUUUCUUUUGAGAAAGCAUUGUGAUUGGCUCAUAUCAUCACUUCAGAUCAGGGACAGAGCCAGCAUAAGCAGACAGGAAUAAAGGUAAGAUUUUACAAUAUUUAGGGGGCAGGGUAGCUAGAUGUGCUGUUUUUAACAAUCUAGAGUCAGGAAAAUAUGUUUGUAUGCCUGACCUUAUACGAGGUAUCAGAAUGUUUGUAAACAUUUCUGCCAAGAUGCUUCCAGGUGGCAGAACGCGAGCGGCUUCCACUGACCUGAAACUCCAGCCACGCACACCUACAGCAAGGCAUGCACACCGACAGCACAGUGCUGUGCAAACCAAUGCUAGACCCAGCCUGCAUGCAUAAUGCACUACGAUUUAUAGUUUAUUUCCCCCUCCCUGCUUCUUACCUUGCCAGGGAGGGGGGAGAUUGCAUGGUGGAGGGAGCAAGCCGCAGUACAUUGCAUCAGAGAACUCUUCGGGUAUUGCCACCCGGAAGAACUUCUAUUAUUGUUGUGACGUCAUGGU